This 755-nucleotide ribosomal RNA is filed under the name uncultured Actinomycetes bacterium. Its description in RNAcentral is "bacterial SSU rRNA". It matches the Rfam family "Bacterial small subunit ribosomal RNA", at positions 28 to 798 of the family's 1533-position model. The record is from RNAcentral. Lineage: Bacteria; Bacillati; Actinomycetota; Actinomycetes.
GACGAACGCUGGCGGCGUGCUUAACACAUGCAAGUCGAGCGGAAAGGCCCUUCGGGGUACUCGAGCGGCGAACGGGUGAGUAACACGUGAGCAACCUGCCCUUAGCUUUGGGAUAACCCUCGGAAACGGGGGCUAAUACCGAAUAUUCAUCACCGGGCGCAUGUUUGGUGGUGAAAAGUUUUUUCGGACUGGGAUGGGCUCGCGGCCUAUCAGCUUGUUGGUGGGGUGAUGGCCUACCAAGGCUUUGACGGGUAGCCGGCCUGAGAGGGCGACCGGCCACACUGGGACUGCGACACGGCCCAGACUCCUACGGGAGGCAGCAGUGGGGAAUAUUGCACAAUGGACGCAAGUCUGAUGCGGCGACGCCGCGUGAGGGAUGACGGCCUUCGGGUUGUAAACCUCUUUCGCCAAGGACGAAGCGAAAGUGACGGUACUUGGAGAAGAAGCGCCGGCCAACUACGUGCCAGCAGCCGCGGUAACACGUAGGGGGCGAGCGUUGUCCGGAUUUAUUGGGCGUAAAGAGCUCGUAGGCGGUUCGAUAAGUCGGGUGUGAAAACUCUGGGCUCAACUCAGAGACGCCACCCGAUACUGUUGUGACUUGAGUCCGGUAGGGGAGUAUGGAAUUCCCAGUGUAGCGGUGAAAUGCGCAGAUAUUGGGAGGAACACCAGUGGCGAAGGCGGUACUCUGGGCCGGAACUGACGCUGAGGAGCGAAAGCGUGGGUAGCGAACAGGAUUAGAUACCCUGGUAGUCCAC